AAAUCCGCUUUGAUAAUGCUGGGAUGUGAUGGGGAGCGAAAUUUAGUAGCGAAGUAGCUGAUUUCACACUGUCAAGAAAAGUCUCUAUCGAGGUUAAAGGUACCCGUACCGCAAACCGACACAGGUGGGUGAGGAGAGUAUCCUAAGGCCAGCGAGAGAACUGUUGUUAAGGAACUCGGCAAAAUGACCCCGUAACUUAGGGAUAAGGGGUGCCACCAUCAGGUGGCCGCAGAGAAUAGGCCCAAGCGACUGUUUACCAAAAACAUAGGUUUCUGCUAAGUCGCAAGACGAUGUAUAGGAGCUGACGCCUGCCCGGUGCUGGAAGGUUAAGGGGAUCUGUUAGAGCAAUCGAAGCAGUGAACUUAAGCCCCAGUAAACGGCGGCCGUAACUAUAACGGUCCUAAGGUAGCGAAAUUCCUUGUCGGGUAAGUUCCGACCCGCACGAAAGGCGUAACGAUUUGGGCACUGUCUCAACAACAGACUCGGUGAAAUUGUAAUUCCGGUGAAGAUGCCGGAUACCUGCGACAGGACGGAAAGACCCCAUGGAGCUUUACUGUAGCUUGACAUUGGGUCUUGGUACUACAUGUACAGGAUAGGUGGGAGGCUUUGAAACCAGGACGCCAGUUUUGGCGGAGCCAUCCUUGGGAUACCACCCUUGUAGUACUGGGACUCUAACCAUAGGCCAUGAAUCUGGUCUUGGGACACUGUCAGG
This 712-nucleotide ribosomal RNA is filed under the name Clostridioides difficile. RNAcentral describes it as "partial 23S ribosomal RNA". It matches the Rfam family "Bacterial large subunit ribosomal RNA", at positions 1538 to 2261 of the family's 2925-position model. The record is from RNAcentral. Lineage: Bacteria; Bacillati; Bacillota; Clostridia; Peptostreptococcales; Peptostreptococcaceae.